AGGGGUGAUGCCUGCCCAGUGACACUGUUUAACGGCCGCGGUAUCCUGACCGUGCGAAGGUAGCAUAAUCACUCGUCUUUUAAAUAAAGACUAGAAUGAAUGGCUAAACGAGGCUCUACCUGUCUCUUACAAAUUAUCAGUGAAAUUGAUCUCCUCGUGCAAAAGCGAGAAUAUCAACAUAAGACGAGAAGACCCUGUGGAACUUUAAGUAUAAGUCAACUACCAAACUAAAACUCUAACUCCACUUGAGACACUACAUACAAUUACUUGACCUUACUUUCGGUUGGGGUGACCUUGGAGAACAACAAAACCUCCAAAAAUAUAUACCAAGAUCAACACACCAAAGUGYCCAAGGCAAAACGAUCCAAUAUAUUUGAUCAACGAACCAAGCUACCCCAGGGAUAACAGCGCAAUCCCCUCUUAGAGUCCAUAUCAACGAUGGGGGUUUACGACCUCGAUGUUGGAUCAGGACAUCCUAAUGGUGCAGCCGCUAWUAAGGGUUC
RNAcentral lists this ribosomal RNA (503 nucleotides) under Chelodina oblonga (North Australian snake-necked turtle). RNAcentral describes it as "partial 16S ribosomal RNA". It matches the Rfam family "Bacterial large subunit ribosomal RNA", at positions 1848 to 2574 of the family's 2925-position model. Lineage: Eukaryota; Metazoa; Chordata; Testudines; Chelidae. The record is from RNAcentral.